CUCUCAGUCACGUCACUCAGUCAGUCAGUCUCUCAGUCACGUCACUCAGUCAGUCAGUCUCUCAGUCACGUCACUCAGUCAGUCAGUCUCUCAGUCACGUCACUCACUCAGUCACGUCACUCAGUCACUCACUCACUCAGUCAGUCACUCAGUCAGUCACUCAGUCAUUUACUCACUCAGUCACUCACCCAGUCACUCACCCAGCCAGUCAGUCAUGUCACUUACUCAGUCACGUCACUCACUCACUCCGCCACUCACCCAGUCAGUCACUCACUCACUCACUCACUCCGCCACUCACCCAGCCAGUCACUCACUCACUCACUCCGCCACUCACCCAGUCAGUCACUCACUCACUCACUCCGCCAC
Molecule: long non-coding RNA, 366 nt
Organism: Hemibagrus wyckioides
Lineage: Eukaryota; Metazoa; Chordata; Actinopteri; Siluriformes; Bagridae
Exons: 3
Source: RefSeq, a predicted model, not a curated record